This 3057-nucleotide long non-coding RNA is filed under the name Mytilus galloprovincialis (Mediterranean mussel). Lineage: Eukaryota; Metazoa; Mollusca; Bivalvia; Mytilida; Mytilidae. The record is from RNAcentral.
AGAAUGGGAUCAUUCUCUCUCUCUAGCAUUUUUUUUCAUGUUAGUAAAUUAUUCUUUAUAGUUCCAUAAUCAUUCACACAUACAAUAUCUUCAUUCUCAUUGACACUUGUUUUCAGUAUUUAAUUUUGCAAGGAUGAUUUAUUGUUUUAAUUGUGGUGCAUAGUUAUUUUUUUAUAAUUUUUGUUAUACAUAUUUUUAGUUUAUUUAAGUAUAUUUAUCUUUACUAUGUUAGAAUGAAUAUCAGGUACAUAUAAUAAUGUAAGGCAGUUAUAGCUGAGAUUGGAAAUCCUGUAAUAGAAAAUGAAGUCUUGAACUUUUUUUGUUACAACACUUUUAAAGACAAAGUCCAGGUGUAUUACUGCAAAUGUGAAUAUUUUAGCUAUAAAAAAAAUUAUGAAGAUGUGGUAUGAGUGCCAAAUAGUCAACUCUUUAUCUAAGUCAAAAUGAGUGAAAAUUGAACAACUAUAGGUUAAAGUGCCACCUAGUAUUUUAUCAAUGGUACAGUUUAUUUUGCUAAAAUUUAAAUGACCAUGUUAACAAUUCUCACAAACAUUGGGAUAAAAGACCAGCACAAAUAUCUCAGGCUUUCUGAUAGAUCUUGUUUGGACACCCACAGUCUGGAAACAAUAUUAUUUGACCUGAAGAUAACAGGAACAUACCUCCAUAUAACAUAAAAUUAGAGAGAAAACUGUGUUCUGCAAAGCAUUUCUAUAAUUUUAGCAUUUAUAAGAAUAUUCCAAUCUCAGUUAAAUUUUAAUGAUAAUCCUUUCAAGUACUAUGAAAUCUACAUAAAUGUUAAUUGUAUAUAUAUACUUGUAUUUUGUCAUUUUUUUUUCUUUGUUAAAUAUAUAAUCAUGUUUUUUUCAAACUUUUUGAUAAGGUUGCUGCACUUCUUUUCUUUUCUUAUUUGUUGCAGUGUAGGAGAUCUAAUAGAAUCCCAUAAUAACUAAUAAAAAGUUUAAAUAAAUGCAGAAAUUUAAUUUUAGUUAGAUUGUGUUUUUGUUAUAUUUUUCCUUCAUAGUUCAAGGCUUUUUUUAUAAUAACUACUUAACUACAUUAUCCUUUAUUGUUUGAAAUGCUUGCCAAAGAUUUGUUUUUUCUAAUAGAAAUAUUUUUGGUAAUACCGUAUUUGGUCGUAUAUAAUCCACACUUUUUUAGUAGUUAUGGCAAAUUAGAUUGAGUUAUGGCAGUUUAUUUGAAUUGAUUGAAUUUGUUUUAAAAUUAAUAGAUAAUCAAUUUUUAUCUGUUCAUUAAAUGAGGACACAAAUUAAUCACUGAUGAAAUUAGUCUAUCCAUUCUCAAUCAGUUAUUGAUUCUUUAAGCUUCACAAUUACUUAGCAUUGUCUUUCAUUAAAAAGAGAAAUAUUUGAGAUCAUGAUUUCUAGUCAGAGCUGUGUUUUUGUUUGUUUAUUUUUGUGUUAUAUAUAUGCUGCAGAUAUAGAUGAAUAUAGUGAUAUGAUAUUAUUAAUAAUUUGAUUUGUAAAUGUAUCCAUCUAUGUGCAUUUAUGAUGAAUUAAUACAUUAAAAAUGCUAUGAAAGCAUUGCUUCUUAGCUUAUAUCAAUAAUUUAAUCUUAUGAUAUGUAAAAGUAUUUAAAGGUUACAUAUCUAACUUGUAAGGAUCUAUUCAGUUGUUUUGGAUCUUAACCCUUUCCUCCAUGGAUUUUUUUUUUUACAUACUAGAUUCGCAUAGGAUUUUUUCAAUGAAAAAAAAAUCAUCAGGUUUAAAGUAUUGAUGCAUUGUGAAAACAAAUAUUUCAUCAAUGAAAUUCAAUUCAGAUAUUCUCAUGUCUGAUCCAGACAUUUCGUAUGUCAGAGCAUUUCAACUGAGGUACUACACAAGCGUCAAAAGGCGUCAUUAUGGAGUAAAGGGGGUGGCGUCAAAAGGCGUCAUUAUGGAGGAAAGGGUUAACUUAAGAUAAAUGUUUUGUUAUUUCACAUUAUGCUUACAAUAAUUUCUCUAUAUUAUUUGAAAAUUUGUAGAUUUUGAAAUUUCUAUAUCUUUCUGUGAUGAGUAACUGUUUGACAAUCAAACAAUGAUCUAAUAAACUAUUUUGCUAUGUUCACAAUUUAUUAGAUUUUAAGGAAGUAAUAAGGUAAAAUUAAAACAAGAACUAAAAAUGAUACUAUUAGUCGGAAGAGCAUUAGUAAAGCAACAGAAUAAGCUAAAAAUAUUGGUAAAUUAUGGAGUUUUUUUUUUUAAAUGACGGGUUUAAGGCUGACUCAGACUUUUACCUUAAAUUUGUAUUUGUAUUAUUUGGCUCUCAAAUCAAAAGAAAAGAAAUCUAGAAUCUGCUCAAAGUUUGGUAAAUGACCUUUUAUUAGCUAUUGAAGUUUUAUAUGAAAGAAAAUUAGCAGUUAUGGGGGGAAAUAUUUGACCCUGUAUUGAAGAAAAAAAAAAAGAUCCGAAAAAAUAUUACACAAGUUACUAGAACUCACCUUAGUACAUCCUUAAGGAUUGCAUAAUGGUUCAAUGAUCCUAACAAGCAUUAUUUACAUGUAAAAACAGUCCUUAAACUGCAGUUUGAUAAUCAAAAAAUUAACAGUGCUUAGCUAAUUUUCGUCAUUAUAAUUUUUACUAACAUAAUUUUUUUUACAGGGUAUGGAAAUAUUUUUAAAUUGUCUAAUAUAAUGUUAGCCAUAUUUCCUCUGACCUAUUCCUGUUUUGCAUAAGAAAUAUAAAUUGGGUAAUUUCUACAAAAGUAUUAUAUAUACAAAGGAACUAGAAUAUAAUCAGCAAUUUUAAAACUGAUAUUUUUAUUGCAUAAUUUAUUUCUUUAUUAUUUCUUUUUUUAAACUAAUUCAACACUUGUAUUGUGAGGAGAAAAUUGUUAUCAUAAAUAAAAAUGUGAAAAUGUAUUUGACAUAUUUGUGGCCAGUGUCUUGUUUAAGUAUGGGUCAAGUCUGAUUAGACACAUUGUUUGGACCCUCUAAUAGCAUACAAUGCCAAACAUUCAAUCCUCUCAACAUUCAAAACCAUAGUUGAUAAACAUGACGUAACAUUAUCUUUGUUAUCUUAAGGUAGCACAAUACAAAGAUUUUUUCACUCCCAAUCAGAC